AUUCCUACGGGGGGCAGCAGUGGGGGAUAUUGCACAAUGGGCGAAAGCCUGAUGCAGCGACGCCGCGUGAGGGAAGACGGUCUUCGGAUUGUAAACCUCUGUCUUUGGGGAAGAAGAUGACGGUACCCAAAGAGGAAGCUCCGGCUAACUACGUUCCAGCAGCCGCGGUAAUACGUAGGGAGCGAGCGUUGUCCGGAAUUACUGGGUGUAAAGGGAGCGUAGGCGGGGAUGCAAGUUGGAUGUUUUAACUAUCGGCUCAACCGGUAAUUGCAACCCACACUGCACCUCUUGAGUGAAGCAGAGGG
This 305-nucleotide ribosomal RNA is filed under the name uncultured bacterium. RNAcentral describes it as "bacterial SSU rRNA". It matches the Rfam family "Bacterial small subunit ribosomal RNA", at positions 335 to 658 of the family's 1533-position model. The record is from RNAcentral.